AGGGUGUAAACGCUGCAGACUUGGUGUUGGAAGUCCUUUGGGGGCAUUCAGUGCCGGAGAGAAGUUGUUAAGUCUGCUACUUGGGGAGUACGUCCGCAAGGAUGAAACUUAAAGGAAUUGGCGGGGGGAGGCACCGCAACGGGAGGAGCGUGCGGUUUAAUUGGAUUCAACACCGUAAACUCACCAGGGAAGACUGUUACAUGAAGGCCGAGAUGAAGACUCUGCUAGAUUUUCAGAGAGGAGGUGCAUGGCGUCAGUGACU
This 262-nucleotide ribosomal RNA is filed under the name uncultured archaeon. Its description in RNAcentral is "partial 16S ribosomal RNA". It matches the Rfam family "Archaeal small subunit ribosomal RNA", at positions 748 to 1008 of the family's 1478-position model. The record is from RNAcentral.